GGCCUGGGAACGGCGAGUCCCCUCUCCCCUUCCUCCGCCGUUCCCCCUCUACCCUCCUCCACUGGUGAUGCCCUUCUCUCCCCUCCUUCCCCCGUUGAAUGGAGUGGAGAAGGCAGCGGAUGAAUAUUUGAGCACACCCGUCGCCUCUCUAACUGGUGGAUUAAACGAUAAUGAUCAGAUUAGUUUGGGAUAAUUUACCCAUCUAACUGAAGAACAGAAAUAAUUAUCAUAACUUAUUUUAUUGAGAUCUAAAACCCAAAACUCAUAUAGACUUAUUACUCUCUCAUUCCUUCCUCUCUCUCUCUCUCUCUCUCUAAAUUAGAUAUCGCCUUUUGCAGCGGCGACAUCCUGUAGUGAAAAAAAGUAGCUUGCCCUUCGAUGUCAUCCUCCCAGAAGGAAGCUUUAUGUAAAAACAUUCUGUUGAAAUGGCCAGUCGCUUGCAUUCCUGAGAGGAGACUCCGGAAGAUGAGCUUAGGAGCCUGUGAAUCUGAUAAAACUCUGUUCAACUACCCGAGAAAUUAAGAGCCUUCUCUCGGAAUGAAGAAGAAGAAGGAGAAGGAAGAAGAAGGAGAAAGAAGAAGAAGAAGAAGAAGAAGAAG
This 599-nucleotide long non-coding RNA is filed under the name Spirodela polyrhiza (greater duckweed). Its description in RNAcentral is "long non-coding RNA (SPOL_LNC001742)". The record is from RNAcentral. Lineage: Eukaryota; Viridiplantae; Streptophyta; Magnoliopsida; Alismatales; Araceae.